Molecule: transfer RNA, 73 nt
Filed under: Eubacterium uniforme
Lineage: Bacteria; Bacillati; Bacillota; Clostridia; Eubacteriales; Eubacteriaceae
Also listed under: 1 other name
Rfam family: tRNA
About the family: Transfer RNA (tRNA) molecules are approximately 80 nucleotides in length.
Source: Rfam by way of RNAcentral
GCUUCCGUGGCGCAGUCGGUAGCGCGCAUCCUUGGUAAGGAUGAGGUCUCGGGUUCAAGUCCCGUCGGAAGCU